GAGAAUGAGGUCCACUAAUUACCAGCUCUGUGAUCCUUGGCAAGUUGCUUAUCCUCACAAGCUAAAUGUUUAAUAAAUCAGUACAGAAGGCAUCAGGAGACACCAAAUAUGGUCAGGACACCGCACAGCAAUGAUUGGGAUGCAAGUCAUCUACAGGCUCACCACCAUUUGUCCUUCCUGGUAGAGAAUGGACAAGAGACUUUUAUAAAUUUAUGUCCUGUUUUUUAGACUAUAGUGGGAAGGCAGAGAAUUUCUCUUGCAUGUGACUCUUUUCAGUUGCCUUCAAAUCAAAAUAAUACUUAUUUUGAGGUGGCAUAUUCUGGUCUCUUACAUUGUAUUCAAACGGGUUGCUGCUACUUCUCUAUUGUUAUUAAUCUUUUUAUCAUCUUCUUAUUCCUCUUAGCACAGUCGGGGCAUAACAUGUUAUCUUCUAUGCCUGGGGAUGGGAAAUUGCAGGCAGGUAACAAGAAGAGAGAAUUCAUCCUCCUGUGAGUGGUAGGCACCCAGGACUGACCUGCAUGAAACUGCAGGCC
This 533-nucleotide long non-coding RNA is filed under the name Homo sapiens (human). Its description in RNAcentral is "HSALNT0294655". Lineage: Eukaryota; Metazoa; Chordata; Mammalia; Primates; Hominidae. The record is from RNAcentral.